This is a non-coding RNA of Callorhinus ursinus (northern fur seal), 347 nucleotides long. Lineage: Eukaryota; Metazoa; Chordata; Mammalia; Carnivora; Otariidae. The record is from RefSeq and is a predicted model, not a curated record.
UACUCAAGACAACCUGCCUCACCCUAUCCAUCUGAUCAUUCACCUUGUAAGGCUCACCAGACCAUGAGCUCUGGAAGGCAUGCAGCUUCCAGCUGGAUGGCUCUUCCCAGCCUCCCUUGCAGCUCAGCGGCAUGGAUGCUUCGCCAAUGGAUGUUUAACUGUAACAAGACGAUGUUCUGGGCCUUGAAGUCCUGAAGUCACAUGGGCCUAUUUCUAUUGGCAAGAUAAAAUACAGAUCACAAUAAAAUAAGGGUGGAUUGGGGCACUCAGGUCAGGGGAUUUCCUAUCCUUUUUCUUACUCAGGAACUCUCAAGGAUGACAAAGGAGCUGUCUGAGUUAACAACUUU